Molecule: ribosomal RNA, 324 nt
Filed under: uncultured bacterium
Lineage: Bacteria
Description: bacterial SSU rRNA
Rfam family: Bacterial small subunit ribosomal RNA
Source: RNAcentral
GAUGAACGCUGGCGGCGUGCUUAACACAUGCAAGUCGAACGAGAAUCCGGGGAAGGAGGCUUCGGCCAACGGAACUGGAGGAAAGUGGCGGACGGGUGAGUAACGCGUGAGUAACCUGCCUUGGAGAGGGGAAUAACACAUCGAAAGAUGUGCUAAUACCGCAUGAAAUGUCUGAAUCGCAUGGUUCUGGACAUCAAAGAUUUAUCGCUCUGAGAUGGACUCGCGUCUGAUUAGCUGGUUGGCGGGGUAACGGCCCACCAAGGCGACGAUCAGUAGCCGGACUGAGAGGUUGGCCGGCCACAUUGGGACUGAGACACGGCCCAG